AUCUACUCACUAAAUAUUUCAUAUCUAUUACAAGCAAAAAAGUACAUAUAACUACGGUCAACCACAACUUUUUAAAAAAUAUAAGUUAUUAAAAUAAAAAAUUAUAUUACCAAUAUAAUAUGACUGUCUCUAUAAAUGAUAAGAUAUAUAGCUUCAUCCUUUCUAUAUCCCUACAUAUAUAUAACUCUAUAGUUUUGACGAUAAAAAGGUUGAGGUUCCUAAAUUGUCUCAUAUUUAUUUCAGUAGUAUUUCUACAUCAUAAAUAGUGAAAAAAAAUCAGAUCCAUAUAUCAAUCAAGCUUAUAACCUAGGUACCAAUAUGAAACCAGAAUUACUAUUUCUUAGUGAAUUGAGUCCAGGAGCUGAUGAUUAUAGAAUAAAAGUGAAGGUAAUAGACAUUUCAGAGAGAAAAUUAUCUACGGAUGAUUGCACUUUCUACGAAACGCUUCUAUUAUGUGAUGAAAAGAUUUAUCAGGAGUAGUCUUGUUUGUGGAGGAAGAAGUCUGUUUGGUUACCUUAUUCUAUGGACAGAAAGCCUAUGUUCGAGAGGUUAACGUUGUCAUAACUGACCAAACGCUUCUCUCAGUCCACUAGAAUGUAAAACCAGAUUAUCUACAAUCCUAAAGGAGACAGAGCUAAUGUGUUGCGAGAAUGGUCAACCCUAUAUGCACAAAUGCUAUUAGAUCGACAAGGAAGGAUUCUGGAAGUUCAAGACCCUGCAAAUGCAAGAGCACCUGUCACUAUUCGAUACCUGAAGGAUAAAAAAGGUGCAAAAUGCAUUACAAGAUGAAAGGCAUUAGGUACUUGCAACUGUGACCUUUGUAUCUAUGGAACAACAGCUGAAAGCAUAUAUAGGAUUUUCAAAGUGUGGGAAGCCAACAAAACUACCAGAAGGGAGGCAAUUUGCUUGUUCAAAAUGUUAUACCAAAGAAGCAAAUGCUUGUCUCAGGGUUGCUUUAACUUUUGAUGCUGCAGAGGCCUAUGACAGCAUAGCACUUACAUAAUUUGCCAAUGAAACUGAAAAAUCUUUGGAAUGAAUACAACUGAUAUAUAUAAUAUGAUGGAAAAUGGAAAUUUAAUUUGUUUCACAGCCAUACAACAAAAAAUAAGUUCCAAAGUCUUCUAUCUGGAAGUUGGUCCCUACUAGCAUUAACUGCUAGCAACAUACUUCAGUGGACAUUAGAAGCAGUUCAGAUAUAAGAUGAUCAUGGUGAUUGUACAACAAAGGGCAAAAAAUAGGUCGAAGUUCCUCCACAUAUUGAUGGUUCCAACAUAUCAAAAACAAUUGAUCAAGAUGUGAGUGCAAGUUUCAGCAACUACGAAUGCUUCUAUUUCAACAUUUGCAAAAGAACCCUUCCCUAAUUGGUCAAUGCAUGGACGACCACGCUCUUUACUCAAAAGAAAACACUCCAACACUGUCAAUGAAGUUGAAACUACAAAGACCAAGAUCUGCAUACCCAAUGCUGAUAAUCAAAGAAAUACCUUCUGUUUUCAAUGAACCAUACACAAAAAUUACUGGAAACAUCAACACUAAUUCUCCACAAGAGUAGGAAAUUGUAUUCAAAACAGCAACCCUGACAACAUAGCAACUGAAAAUUCCUCAGCAAUCAGCACAGACCUUCCAAAAUGAACCAGAGAUGGUACAAGGUUUGCUGAAAAACUCCUAUUGCUAAUUUAAAAUAUUCGACUAUGUUUUAUGAAUGCUGCAUUUUGCUCCCUUCGCAGCAUAGUAAUUUAUAUAAACCAAAAGUCAACAAAAUCUAUAUGACUUAAAUCUUUUGAAGGGUUGUGUAGGAACAAAGGUAAUAGCCCCUGUUCCUACAUAACACUCAUCUUAGAAUAUAAUAUAAAGUUGUUGCAUUUUGCACCCUCAACAACUUAGUAGUCUAUGAAAAGUCAUAUAUAAUCUGGUUGUAUAGAUCCUUAAUAUUUUGGAGGGUUAUGAAGGCACAUAAGUGAUAACUUUUGUUCCUACAUAACACUUAAUCUACAUAGGUUAAAAGUAGUUGAACUCUUUUGCUCAUUCUAGCUAACCAUUUAAGGUUUAAUAGGAUAUGAUGUUAAGUAAGUUUAGAUUUUAUAUGCUAUGUAUGUCUAUUAAUUGUAAUGGAAAGCAAACCUUAAACUUUUGUAAUGUAAUAAAUUAAGCAGUAUCUAAUAGAAUAUAUACUUUU
RNA transcript from Chenopodium quinoa (quinoa), 2173 nucleotides. RefSeq lists it as uncharacterized. The record is from RefSeq and is a predicted model, not a curated record. The transcript is spliced from 8 exons. Lineage: Eukaryota; Viridiplantae; Streptophyta; Magnoliopsida; Caryophyllales; Amaranthaceae.